This is a long non-coding RNA of Dreissena polymorpha, 456 nucleotides long. RefSeq lists it as uncharacterized. The transcript has 4 exons. The record is from RefSeq and is a predicted model, not a curated record. NCBI's taxonomy places the organism in Eukaryota, Metazoa, Mollusca, Bivalvia, Myida, Dreissenidae.
AAAUGACUCCACACACCCCAAUUGCAAAGUGCAGUGCUUUGAGGAGGAGGGUCUACCAAGCUUGUAUUUCGUUGCCCUCCGUGACAUUCUGCCACUGGUCAGACGCUACAGGUGACUGUGCCAGUGUCAUCUCUCGUGCAGAGAAGAAGUUGUGUAUAAUUAUGGUGCAGGACCAUAUCCAUGGACGAAAAAGUUCGAAAAGCUGUGACGUUAUAGUAUCCAAACCAGGCGUGAGACCAGUCCAUUGCCUACUUGAAGUUAACAACGGAAAGGACAAGUUUGCUUUAUACACUGAUGUUGGAGCUUGGGGAAAGCCACUUGACUACAUUACCUAGCUCAGGCAGUCUGCAAUACUCAAAGAAUUCUUGAUGACUGCAGUGUCCAUGACUUUAAUGUUGAACCAGAUGGCCUACAUCCAGAACUGAUGCAUGGAGUUCAAAACUACAUAGAUCAAGG